GACGAACGCUGGCGGCGUGCCUAAUACAUGCAAGUCGAACGAGAGCGACCGGUGCUUGCACUGGUCAAUCUAGUGGCGAACGGGUGAGUAACACGUGGGUAACCUGCCCAUCAGAGGGGGAUAACAUCCGGAAACGGAUGCUAAAACCGCAUAGGUCUUCGAGCCGCAUGGCUUGAAGAGGAAAAGAGGCGCAAGCUUCUGCUGAUGGAUGGACCCGCGGUGCAUUAGCUAGUUGGUGAGGUAACGGCUCACCAAGGCCGUGAUGCAUAGCCGACCUGAGAGGGUGAUAGGCCACAUUGGGACUGAGACACGGCCCAAACUCCUACGGGAGGCAGCAGUAGGGAAUCUUCCGCAAUGGACGCAAGUCUGACGGAGCAACGCCGCGUGAGUGAAGAAGGUUUUCGGAUCGUAAAACUCUGUUGUUAGAGAAGAACAAGUGCUAGAGUAACUGUUAGCGCCUUGACGGUAUCUAACCAGAAAGCCACGGCUAACUACGUG
RNAcentral lists this ribosomal RNA (498 nucleotides) under uncultured bacterium. Its description in RNAcentral is "partial 16S ribosomal RNA". It matches the Rfam family "Bacterial small subunit ribosomal RNA", at positions 28 to 507 of the family's 1533-position model. The record is from RNAcentral.